AACGCGAAGAACCUUACCAGGAUUUGACAUGCUCUCUAUGGAUUCCCGAAAAGGAAUCCUUCACUUCGGGUGGGAGAUGCACAGGUGCUGCAUGGCUGUCGUCAGCUCGUGUCGUGAGAUGUUGGGUUAAGUCCCGCAACGAGCGCAACCCUCGUCCUCUGUUGCUAACAGGUUAAGCUGAGCACUCUGAGGAAACUGCCGGUGAUAAGCCGGAGGAAGGUGGGGAUGACGUCAAGUCCUCAUGGCCCUUACAUCCUGGGCUACACACGUGUUACAAUGGUGGUGACAAUGAGUCGCUAACCCGCAAGGGCAUGCUAAUCUCAAAAAGCCACCUCAGUUCAGAUUGUACUCUGCAACUCGAGUACAUGAAGUUGGAAUCGCUAGUAAUCGCGGAUCAGAACGCCGCGGUGAAUACGUUCCCGGGCCUUGUACACACCGGCUAC
This 443-nucleotide ribosomal RNA is filed under the name uncultured bacterium. RNAcentral's name for it is "bacterial SSU rRNA". It matches the Rfam family "Bacterial small subunit ribosomal RNA", at positions 958 to 1397 of the family's 1533-position model. The record is from RNAcentral.